UACAGAGGUCUCAAGCGUUGUUCGGAUUCAUUGGGCGUAAAGGGUGCGUAGGCGGCCCUGUAAGUCAGUGCUGAAAUAUCCCGGCUUAACCGGGAGGGUGGCAUUGAUACUGCGGGGCUAGAGUACAGAUGAGGUAGGCGGAAUUUACGGUGUAGCGGUGAAAUGCUUAGAUAUCGUCAAGAACACCUAUAGCGAAGGCAGCUUACUAGGCUGUAACUGACGCUGAGGCACGAAAGUGUGGGGAUCAAACAGG
Molecule: ribosomal RNA, 253 nt
Filed under: uncultured bacterium
Lineage: Bacteria
Description: partial 16S ribosomal RNA
Rfam family: Bacterial small subunit ribosomal RNA
Source: RNAcentral